RNAcentral lists this ribosomal RNA (253 nucleotides) under uncultured bacterium. RNAcentral describes it as "partial 16S ribosomal RNA". It matches the Rfam family "Bacterial small subunit ribosomal RNA", at positions 524 to 776 of the family's 1533-position model. The record is from RNAcentral.
UACAGAGGGGGCAAGCGUUGUUCGGAAUUAUUGGGCGUAAAGGGCGCGUAGGCGGUGCGGUAAGUCUUUUGUGAAAUCUCCGGGCUCAACUCGGAGUCUGCAAGGGAAACUGCCGUGCUUGAGUGUGGGAGAGGUGAGUGGAAUUCCCGGUGUAGCGGUGAAAUGCGUAGAUAUCGGGAAGAACACCAGUGGCGAAGGCGAGUCUCUGGGAUGAUGCUGACGCUGAGGCGCGAAAGCCAGGGGAGCAAACGGG